Molecule: small nuclear RNA, 97 nt
Organism: Cricetulus griseus (Chinese hamster)
Lineage: Eukaryota; Metazoa; Chordata; Mammalia; Rodentia; Cricetidae
Source: Ensembl
GCAACACCAUAGCAUGCACAGAAAAUUGGAACAAUAAAGAUUAGCACAGUCCCUAUGCAAGGAUGAUGCACUAAUUAGUGAUCAUUCCAUACUUUAA